GGACGGAUGGCCGAGUUGGUCUAAGGCGCUACGUUCAGGUCGUAGUCUGGGUCUCCAGGCGUGGGUUCGAAUCCCACUUCGUCCA
Acanthamoeba castellanii str. Neff is the source of this 85-nucleotide transfer RNA. It matches the Rfam family "tRNA". Rfam says of the family: Transfer RNA (tRNA) molecules are approximately 80 nucleotides in length. Their secondary structure includes four short double-helical elements and three loops (D, anti-codon, and T loops). The record is from Rfam. Lineage: Eukaryota; Discosea; Longamoebia; Acanthamoebidae.